GUUCUCACUUCGGCAGCACGUAUACUAAAAUUGGCACGAUACAGAGAAGAUUAGCACAGCCCCUGUAUAAGGAUGAUACACAAAUUCGUGAAGCAUUCCAUAUUUUU
RNAcentral lists this small nuclear RNA (107 nucleotides) under Dasypus novemcinctus (nine-banded armadillo). Lineage: Eukaryota; Metazoa; Chordata; Mammalia; Cingulata; Dasypodidae. The record is from RNAcentral.